GGUCUAGGAGCUUGUGUUUAAGCGUCUGAUUGUUACUCAGAAGAAGGUUUGAGUAAGGAACUCUGGAUCU
This 70-nucleotide transfer RNA is filed under the name Anadara pilula. Its description in RNAcentral is "tRNA-Asn". The record is from RNAcentral. Lineage: Eukaryota; Metazoa; Mollusca; Bivalvia; Arcoida; Arcidae.